This 253-nucleotide ribosomal RNA is filed under the name uncultured bacterium. Its description in RNAcentral is "partial 16S ribosomal RNA". It matches the Rfam family "Bacterial small subunit ribosomal RNA", at positions 524 to 776 of the family's 1533-position model. The record is from RNAcentral.
UACGUAGGGUGCGAGCGUUAAUCGGAAUUACUGGGCGUAAAGCGCACGCAGGCGGUCUGUUAAGUCAGAUGUGAAAUCCCCGGGCUCAACCUGGGAAUGGCAGUGGAUACUGGCAAGCUAGAGUGCGGUAGAGGGUAGUGGAAUUCCCGGUGUAGCAGUGAAAUGCGUAGAGAUCGGGAGGAACACCAGUGGCGAAGGCGGCUACCUGGACCAGCACUGACACUGAAGCACGAAAGCGUGGGGAGCAAACAGG